Molecule: small nucleolar RNA, 250 nt
Organism: Carcharodon carcharias (great white shark)
Lineage: Eukaryota; Metazoa; Chordata; Chondrichthyes; Lamniformes; Lamnidae
Product: small nucleolar RNA SNORA53
Exons: 1
Source: RefSeq, a predicted model, not a curated record
CACACAUUCCUUAGAUCCAUCUUUGGGAUAUAUCUGCUCUGUCUUGCUGGUAGAUCUCUUUGCACUCUGGUGUUGGGUUCUGCAGUGUGCUGGCAGGUGACAUUCAUCAACUUUAGUGGUUAGUCAAAGGUGCUUGAGUUAUUGGCGUGUUAAAGUGAUAUACCUGCACAGUUGCCCCUCUGUUCUGAUGUGAAUAACCUGUUACACCAGGCUGUUUCUGCCAUCAGGACUUAGCUGCGGUGCGGACACA